GGAGAGGUCGCAUAGUGGCUUAGUGCGCUUGCUUGGAAAGCAGGUAGAUCUUUACGGGUCUCGGGAGUUCGAAUCUCCCCCUCUCCG
Molecule: transfer RNA, 87 nt
Filed under: Patescibacteria group bacterium
Lineage: Bacteria
Description: tRNA-Ser
Rfam family: tRNA
About the family: Transfer RNA (tRNA) molecules are approximately 80 nucleotides in length. Their secondary structure includes four short double-helical elements and three loops (D, anti-codon, and T loops).
Source: RNAcentral